RNAcentral lists this non-coding RNA (44 nucleotides) under Schistosoma margrebowiei. The record is from RNAcentral. Lineage: Eukaryota; Metazoa; Platyhelminthes; Trematoda; Strigeidida; Schistosomatidae.
ACCAGCUGACGAGUCAGAGAUUGGACGAAACGCGCGUCCUGGAU